RNAcentral lists this ribosomal RNA (303 nucleotides) under uncultured bacterium. RNAcentral describes it as "partial 16S ribosomal RNA". It matches the Rfam family "Bacterial small subunit ribosomal RNA", at positions 507 to 809 of the family's 1533-position model. The record is from RNAcentral.
AGCAGCCGCCGCGGUAACACGUAGGGUGCGAGCGUUAAUCGGAAUUACUGGGCGUAAAGCGUGCGCAGGCGGUUGUGUAAGACAGGUGUGAAAUCCCCGGGCUUAACCUGGGAACUGCGCUUGUGACUGCACAGCUAGAGUAUGGCAGAGGGGGGUGGAAUUCCACGUGUAGCAGUGAAAUGCGUAGAGAUGUGGAGGAACACCGAUGGCGAAGGCAGCCCCCUGGGCCAAUACUGACGCUCAUGCACGAAAGCGUGGGGAGCAAACAGGAUUAGAUACCCCGGUAGUCCUGUCUCUUAUACA